Molecule: long non-coding RNA, 1252 nt
Filed under: Homo sapiens (human)
Lineage: Eukaryota; Metazoa; Chordata; Mammalia; Primates; Hominidae
Description: long intergenic non-protein coding RNA 2901
Source: RNAcentral
GGCGCGACCGGCGGGGCGGGGCGGACACUCCCACCGCGCACCUGCUUCUGCCUGACGUGUACCCGGAAGGUCGUCAGCUCAGGCUCCAAAUAUGUAACAGUGAGUUUCUAAGUGAGUCACACGGACGCGGUUGGUUUCCAGUGAGGCAUAACUCAUCGCUUCACUCUUCUCAACGGUUCCCUCUUCGGAAGGAAGCGCAGUCCGCAGCGUCGUCCGAGGGCGUGAUCGCCUGCGUCGCACCCGCGUCUCCAGUGGCCACCCCUUGUCCUACAGGAACGCGCAUCUGCUUAGCAGGCGCUGAGCCCUUGAGGAGGCCUAAAAUGAAUGAACGCGGCUGUGCCUCCUGAGCAGGCUCACAGUUGUGGGUGGGGGACAGAAGGGUGUCCAUGCCUAAGGUCGACGGCGAUAAGACAGACGUUCUUCCCAGGAGGAGAUCAGUUCCAGAGACGGAGGUCUCGCUAUGUUGCCCAUACUGGUCUCAAAAUUCCUGGCCUCGAGUGAUCCUCCUGUCUCAGUCCCUGAAAUGCUGGGAUUACAGGUGGAGAGGUAUGAAGAACGAGGAACACUGCCCGGGGAGUUUCUUCCUCUGCAAAAUAAGGGAGUGUGUACUGAAUUACCGUUUCCAGCUCCAACAUCCAGGAUUUCAGCACUACCUGCAGAGUAGUGGGAGGAGAGAUAGGGUGUCACCUCUUAGCCAUCUGAGCACUGGGCUGGCUGCCAAAAACAGAGGUGAUGAUGUAACGUGCCAACUCUCACAUGGCUCAGAGGAGGAGGACCCCAGGACUCCAGGAUGGGACAGGGCAGCCACUUCUCACCAAGAUGAAGUCUUGCUGUCGCCCAGGUUGGAGUGCAGUGGCACGAUCUCGGUUCACUGCAACCUCCCUCUGCCUUCUGGGUUCAACCAAUUCUGCUGCCUCAGCCUCCGGAGUAGCUGGGACGACAGGCGCCCACCACCACGCCCUGCUGAUUUUCAUAUUUUUUGUAGAGAUGCGGUUUCACCAUAUUGGCCAGGCUGGUCUCGAACUCCUGACCUCAGGUGAUCUACCCAUUUUGGCCUCCCAAAGUGCUGGGAUUACAGGCAUGAGCCACCGCACCAGUAUAAAAACUGGUAUCAUGUAAUACACACAUUUUCACUACUUUAAAAAAAUUUGUCAUGUGGUGAAGACUUUUUCUUUCCAAUAAAUAUCAAUCUAUAUCAUUAUUACAUGGGUCUGUCAAAAUUGGUUUAAAUAAAGAAAUAAUUUAGUUUCCA